AUUGAACGCUGGCGGCAGGCUUAACACAUGCAAGUCGAGCGAGCGGCGGACGGGAGCGUAAUGUCUGGGAAACUGCAUGAUGGAGGGGGAUAACUACUGGAAAAGGUAGCUAAUACCGCAUACCAUCAGAUGUGCCCAGAUGGGCUUAGCUAGUAGGUGGUGUAAUGGCUAACCUAGGCGACGAUCCCUAACUGGUCUGAGAGGAUGACCAGCGACCCUGGAACUGAGACACGGUCCAGAAUCCUACGGGAGGCAGCAGUGGGGAAUAUUGCACAAUGGGCGCAAGCCUGAUGCAGCCAUGCCGCGUGUGUGAAGAAGGCCUUCGGGUUGUAAAGCACUUUCAGCGAGGAGGCGUUACUCGCAGAAGAAGCACCGGCUAACUCCGUGCCAGCAGCCGCGGUAAUUC
Molecule: ribosomal RNA, 406 nt
Filed under: uncultured bacterium
Lineage: Bacteria
Description: partial 16S ribosomal RNA
Rfam family: Bacterial small subunit ribosomal RNA
Source: RNAcentral